Long non-coding RNA from Hemicordylus capensis (graceful crag lizard), 499 nucleotides. RefSeq lists it as uncharacterized. The transcript has 4 exons. The record is from RefSeq and is a predicted model, not a curated record. Lineage: Eukaryota; Metazoa; Chordata; Lepidosauria; Squamata; Cordylidae.
GGAACCAGUACUGGAGUGGAGGGACAAUAAGGAUUCUGGUCCUGUCCAAGGAAGAAGAUGAUCAUCAAAUACCUACAACGUUUUGCCCUGUAUGUGUGAUCGCAGGCACAUCAGCAAGCCUCGCUGGCGCUUGUAGUAGCAGCACACAUCGAUCACCAGCAAGACCAACAGAAGGACCACCAACACAAUGGCCAAGAUGGUCUUUUUUCUUACAUCCACCCAGGCCUGAACUCACGUGCAUCACUAGGGGAAGGCGAAGGAACUGGAGUUGGAGUAGGAAAAGACUGUGAGGGAUGCAGAAAAAAGGUGACAGAUCUCCCUCUACGCAACAGAGAAAUGGAAAACGUGUGUGUGUGUGUCCACACAUGCAGUUUUCUGCAUUCAUGCUUAGGAAGAAAAGAAAAGAUUAUGAAGCUUUUACAUCUUCCAACCACUGAGGAAAGUUGUAGACUAUGGUGAGGCCACACCUGGAGUACUGUAGGGAUGUGCAUAAAACCGG